UAGAACUGGCUCUCCAACCCACAUGCCG
Molecule: small RNA, 28 nt
Filed under: Bombyx mori (domestic silkworm)
Lineage: Eukaryota; Metazoa; Arthropoda; Insecta; Lepidoptera; Bombycidae
Description: ovarian small RNA-21788
Source: RNAcentral